RNAcentral lists this ribosomal RNA (357 nucleotides) under Eutropis macularia (bronze grass skink). Its description in RNAcentral is "partial 12S ribosomal RNA". It matches the Rfam family "Bacterial small subunit ribosomal RNA", at positions 857 to 1384 of the family's 1533-position model. The record is from RNAcentral. Lineage: Eukaryota; Metazoa; Chordata; Lepidosauria; Squamata; Scincidae.
ACACAAUGCUAUUCGCCAGAGAACUACAAGUGAAAAACUUAAAACUCCAAGGACUUGGCGGUGCUCCAUAUCGACCUAGAGGAGCCUGUCCUAUAAUCGAUACCCCCGUUUCACCUUACCAUUUUUAGCAACUCAGCCUAUAUACCGCCCUCGUCAGCUUACCUAGUGAGAGAUUUAAAGUAGGCAAAACAGUUAUUUACUAACACGUCAGGUCAAGGUGUAGCACACAAAAUGGAAGAGAUGGGCUACAUUUUCUAACCUAGAAAAAACGAAGAUUGCAGUGAAAUCUGCCCUUUAAGGAGGAUUUAGCUGUAAGACAGACAAGAGAAUCUGCCUAAACCCCGCUUUGGAGCGCGC